ACAGUCGUGAAAAUCACGGUAAUUUAAACAUGCGUUUAACCGAACUUCGCUCAGAAUAUUAUUUCGUUAACAGUGAUUUAUCGUCACGUACAUUAAAAAAAAUAAAACUUUCUGUAUUCUUUUUUUCGACAUCUCACCAAUGAAAGCUACAUAUUCAGUUUUUUCAUUAUUGUAUACUAUUUUAAUGUAUACUUACACGUGAUUGAAUGUAGGGAAAUAUUAUGGGCAUGUUUGAAAUAUUCUACCGGCAUAUCAUCAACGAAAACCCGGAAACCAAAGCGUAUUUCCGACCGUGUGAUGUUUCCGAUAGCGGAUGUAGAUUUGACCCUGAAGAGAAACGGGAUUUACGCAGACGGGUAGUUUGAGAUUUUAUUGCGGUCACGUGUUUUAAUCAAUCGUGAUCCAUGACAAACACGGUAGUAGU
Non-coding RNA from Cinara cedri, 424 nucleotides. The record is from the annotation of a GenBank genome assembly. Lineage: Eukaryota; Metazoa; Arthropoda; Insecta; Hemiptera; Aphididae.